Molecule: transfer RNA, 72 nt
Filed under: Camelus bactrianus (Bactrian camel)
Lineage: Eukaryota; Metazoa; Chordata; Mammalia; Artiodactyla; Camelidae
Also listed under: 3 other names
Rfam family: tRNA
About the family: Transfer RNA (tRNA) molecules are approximately 80 nucleotides in length. Their secondary structure includes four short double-helical elements and three loops (D, anti-codon, and T loops).
Source: Rfam by way of RNAcentral
GGAGGUACAUCUCAGUGGUAAAGUAUGUGCUUGGCGUGCACAAGGUCCUGGGUUCAAUCCCCAGUGCCUCCA